RNAcentral lists this long non-coding RNA (685 nucleotides) under Suricata suricatta (meerkat). RNAcentral describes it as "lncRNA (ENSSSUG00005002935.1)". The record is from RNAcentral. Lineage: Eukaryota; Metazoa; Chordata; Mammalia; Carnivora; Herpestidae.
AAUGGGUCCCCAUGGGUGACACAGAACUUUGGGAGCCUUGUCCCUUGCUCUCUCCAUCCCUAUCCUUCUCGUGAAUGCCACACAUUGGGGAAAAAAAAUAUGGAACAGAUAGCAGUAGCAAGGGCCAACAUCCAGUACAUCCAGUCCACCCACAGAAUGUUCUGAGGAUAAAUAAGGCAAUACACAUGCAAUGGCUUGAGAACUCUGAUUCACUCUACAAAACAGUGUUGCUGCUGAACAGCCAUGUACCCUACCCAGUGCCAUCUCCUUGGAUGUUCUAUGCUCCAUGUUUCUUCUCCUCCAGUACCCAGGGCUGUCAUGAAGGAGAAGCCAUGCCCAUAAAGGAUGUAGAACAAAGUCUUCGGAAUGCUUGCCUUCCUACUACUCUUCUGUGUCCAUCUCCUCCACGUAACUGGGAAUCACACAUCUCUGUGGCCAAUGCCACAGGCUCUCAUAGGAUUAAAAUAAAUAUGUUUCUUCUGCCCUGAGCACUGGCGCAUGUCCUCCUAUCAUGGGAGAUGGUACACCUCAGCCUGGUGAACAUACAUACAUGCCCUUGGGAGUGUCAACCCCCCUUCUCUUUGGCCACUAGGCUCUAAACUCAAGGAAUUCAGAAAAUGGGUUGAAUGUUAACUUCUCUGGUCUCAUGAGGCUCUUUUAGCCCUGCUCUCUCCUUUGAUCUAAU